ACCCUUUCCUUUCCGGCCUCGCGCACCUAUAUUCGGGGGGUCUCGCCGCAAGGCAAGACUAUGGCGAUAAACGGUGAUCGUAAUAAACCAUUCGGACCCGGGGGCAGUACCCGGCGCCUCCACCACCGGCCGCGGGAGCCGCGGCCUGUGAGGGGGGCGAAACAGGAUCGACGAGGGUGUAAAGGGUCGCUUUUUGCUCGUGAUGGUUCCGACGUUAUCGGGCUAAACAUAUAGUUGCCAACGACAACUAUGCUCCGGUUGCAGUGGCUGCUUAACGCAGUCUGAGUGACCGAACUCAAGUCCUUGGGCUUAGCCGCCUAAGGCGGGGUCCGCCGGCACCUGGCAACAGAAGCCGGCACU
This 360-nucleotide transfer-messenger RNA is filed under the name Hyphomicrobiales bacterium. RNAcentral describes it as "Rhizobiales bacterium transfer-messenger RNA". It matches the Rfam family "Alphaproteobacteria transfer-messenger RNA". From Rfam's summary of the family: Bacterial tmRNA, also known as 10Sa RNA or SsrA, is named for its dual tRNA and mRNA-like properties. Its role is to liberate the mRNA from a stalled ribosome. To accomplish this part of the tmRNA is used as a reading frame that ends in a translation stop signal. The record is from RNAcentral. Lineage: Bacteria; Pseudomonadati; Pseudomonadota; Alphaproteobacteria; Hyphomicrobiales.